This 305-nucleotide ribosomal RNA is filed under the name uncultured bacterium. RNAcentral's name for it is "bacterial SSU rRNA". It matches the Rfam family "Bacterial small subunit ribosomal RNA", at positions 337 to 657 of the family's 1533-position model. The record is from RNAcentral.
UCCUACGGGACGCAGCAGUGGGGAAUAUUGCACAAUGGGGGAAACCCUGACGCAGCGACGCCGCGUGAGUGAAGAAGUAAUUCGUUAUGUAAAGCUCUAUCAGCAGGGAAGAAGAAAUGACGGUACCUGAGUAAGAAGCACCGGCUAAAUACGUGCCAGCAGCCGCGGUAAUACGUAUGGUGCAAGCGUUAUCCGGAUUUACUGGGUGUAAAGGGAGCGCAGGCGGCACGGCAAGCCUGAUGUGAAAGCCCGCGGCCCAACCGCGGGACUGCAUUGGGAACUACCGGGCUGGAGUGCCGGAGAGG